GUCCACGCCGUCAACGAUGAUAACUAGAUGUUGGGGAGCUUGCUCCUUAGUAUCGAAGCUAACGCGUUAAGUUAUCCGCCUGGGGAGUACGGCCGCAAGGUUAAAACUCAAAGAAAUUGACGGGGCCCGCACAAGCGGUGGAGCAUGCGGUUUAAUUCGAUGCAACGCGAAGAACCUUACCUGCUCUUGACAUCUUCGGAAUCUUCUAGAAAUAGAUGAGUGCCUUCGGGAACCGAAAGACAGGUGCUGCAUGGCUGUCGU
This 261-nucleotide ribosomal RNA is filed under the name uncultured bacterium. RNAcentral describes it as "partial 16S ribosomal RNA". It matches the Rfam family "Bacterial small subunit ribosomal RNA", at positions 793 to 1055 of the family's 1533-position model. The record is from RNAcentral.